GGCUUGAGGACCGUAUUCAUGGAAGAGGAUUGAACAGACUACUGAGUUCUUAAGAGAAAAAUGGCACUUAAGAAAUUGAUGGUGAUAUCAAAGGAAGGUUACUUAUUACUCUUGGACUUUGAUGAUGAGGACGAUGACAUAAAAGUUUCAGAGGAGGCUCUUGCGGAAGUAAAGAGCCCAGGAUUUGAUAAAAAUGAGAAUAUAUCGCCUCAAGCAGAAGCAGAUGAAUAUAUGGGAGAUGAAGUAGACAGUAUGUUGGAUAAAUCUGGAGUAAAGAACCCAGCAAUUGGUAAAGAUGAGAAUAUAUCGCCUCAAGUAAAAGGAGAUGAAGACAUGGGAGAUGAAAUUGACAGUAUGUUGGCUACAUCUGGAGGUCUUUUCUCCUGAGAACACGGGACUCCAGCAUCUUCGGAUUCUGCUCUUGGAGAUGUGUGCAGCUGAACAGAGCGUUGAGGAAACGUCAGUGAUUUUAUAACUACUUAUCAUGUUGGGAGAUUGUUGUGAUGAUUGCCUGGACUCUCAGAUGUUACACAGGCUGCAUCAUUGGACUGAAAGUGAAUGGCCCAUGUGUUGCCACUGAUGUGAGCCAUUUGCAAGCC
RNAcentral lists this non-coding RNA (599 nucleotides) under Mus musculus (house mouse). The record is from RNAcentral. Lineage: Eukaryota; Metazoa; Chordata; Mammalia; Rodentia; Muridae.